This 73-nucleotide transfer RNA is filed under the name Stegodyphus mimosarum. It matches the Rfam family "tRNA". From Rfam's summary of the family: Transfer RNA (tRNA) molecules are approximately 80 nucleotides in length. Their secondary structure includes four short double-helical elements and three loops (D, anti-codon, and T loops). Further hydrogen bonds mediate the characteristic L-shaped molecular structure. tRNAs have two regions of fundamental functional importance: the anti-codon, which is responsible for specific mRNA codon recognition, and the 3' end, to which the tRNAs corresponding amino acid is attached (by aminoacyl-tRNA synthetases). tRNAs cope with the degeneracy of the genetic code in two manners: having more than one tRNA (with a specific anti-codon) for a particular amino acid; and 'wobble' base-pairing, i.e. permitting non-standard base-pairing at the 3rd anti-codon position. The record is from Rfam by way of RNAcentral. Lineage: Eukaryota; Metazoa; Arthropoda; Arachnida; Araneae; Eresidae.
GCCUUCGUGGUGUAGUGGUCAGCACGCUGGGCGCUUACUCCCGAGGUUUGUGGUUCGAGUCCCGGCGAAGGCG